This 254-nucleotide ribosomal RNA is filed under the name uncultured bacterium. Its description in RNAcentral is "partial 16S ribosomal RNA". It matches the Rfam family "Bacterial small subunit ribosomal RNA", at positions 524 to 775 of the family's 1533-position model. The record is from RNAcentral.
UACGGAGGGGGCAAGCGUUGUUCGGAAUUACUGGGCGUAAAGGGCGCGCAGGCGGCUGCUCAAGUCAGGCGUGGAAAGGCCUGGGCUCAACCCGGGAAUUGCGCUUGAGACUGGGCUGGCUUGAGUGCGGGAGAGGAUGGUGGAAUUCCCAGUGUAGAGGUGAAAUUCGUAGAUAUUGGGAAGAACACCGGUGGCGAAGGCGGCCAUCUGGACCGCAACUGACGCUGAGGCGCGAAAGCGUGGGGAGCAACAGG